GACGAACGCUGGCGGCGUGCUUAACACAUGCAAGUCGAACGGAAAGGCCCUUCUUUUGUGGGGUGCUCGAGUGGCGAACGGGUGAUUAACACGUGAGUAACCUGCCCUUGACUUUGGGAUAACUUCAGGAAACUUGGGCUAAUACCGGAUAGGAUCUCCUGCUGCAUGGUGGGGGUUGGAAAGUUUCGGCGGUUGGGGAUGUACUCGCGGCUUAUCAGCUUGGUGGUGGGGUAGUGGCUUACCAAGGCUUUGACGGGUAGCCGUCCUGAGAGGGUGACCGGCCACAUUGGGACUGAGAUAAGGCACAGACUACAACGGGAGGCAGCAGUGGGGAAGAGUGCACAAGGGGAGGAAGCCAGAUGCAGCAACGCCGCGUGCGGGAUGACGGCAUUCGGGUUGUAAACCGAUGUCGCCUGAGACGAAGAGUGAGUGACGGUAAUGGGUAAAGAAGCACCGGCUAACUACGUG
RNAcentral lists this ribosomal RNA (468 nucleotides) under uncultured bacterium. RNAcentral's name for it is "partial 16S ribosomal RNA". It matches the Rfam family "Bacterial small subunit ribosomal RNA", at positions 28 to 507 of the family's 1533-position model. The record is from RNAcentral.